This 484-nucleotide ribosomal RNA is filed under the name uncultured bacterium. Its description in RNAcentral is "partial 16S ribosomal RNA". It matches the Rfam family "Bacterial small subunit ribosomal RNA", at positions 30 to 507 of the family's 1533-position model. The record is from RNAcentral.
AUUGAACGCUGGCGGCAUGCCUAACACAUGCAAGUCGAGCGGAUGAAGGGAGCUUGCUCCUGGAUUCAGCGGCGGACGGGUGUGUAAUGCCGAGGAAUCUGCCUGGUAGUGGGGGAUAACGUCCGGAGACGGGCGCUAAUACCGCAUACGUCCUGAGGGAGAAAGGGGGGGAGCUUCGGACCUCACGCUAUCAGAUGAGCCUAGGUCGGAUUAGGUAGUUGGUGGGGUAAAGUCCUACCAAGGCCACGAUCCGUAACUGGUAUGAGAGGAUGAUCAGUCACACUGGAACUGAGACACGGUCCAGACUCCUACGGGAGGCAGCAGUGGGGAAUAUUGGACAAUGGGCGCAAGCCUGAUCCAGCAAUGCCGCGUGUGUGAAGAAGGUCUUCGGAUUGUAAAGCACUUUAAGUUGGGAGGAAGGGCAGUAAGUUAAUACCUUGCUGUAUUGACGUUACCAAAAGAAUAAGCACCGGCUAACUUCGUG